Molecule: ribosomal RNA, 580 nt
Filed under: uncultured Methanosarcinales archaeon
Lineage: Archaea; Methanobacteriati; Methanobacteriota; Methanomicrobia; Methanosarcinales
Description: bacterial SSU rRNA
Rfam family: Archaeal small subunit ribosomal RNA
Source: RNAcentral
GCGCGAAAACUUUACAAUGCGGGAAACCGCGAUAAGGGGACACCGAGUGCCAGCAUCCUAUGUUGGCUGUCCAUAUGUAUAAAUAACAUGUGUUAGCAAGGGCCGGGCAAGACCGGUGCCAGCCGCCGCGGUAACACCGGCGGCCCGAGUGGUGGCCACUAUUAUUGGGUCUAAAGGGUCCGUAGCCGGUUUGGUCAGUCUUCCGGGAAAUCUGACGGCUUAACCGUUAGGCUUUCGGGGGAUACUGCCAGGCUUGGGACCGGGAGAGGUAAGAGGUACUACGGGGGUAGGAGUGAAAUCUUGUAAUCCCUGUGGGACCACCAGUGGCGAAGGCGUCUUACCAGAACGGGUCCGACGGUGAGGGACGAAAGCUGGGGGCACGAACCGGAUUAGAUACCCGGGUAGUCCCAGCCGUAAACUAUGCUCGCUAGGUGUCAGGGACGGUGCGACCGUUUCUGGUGCCGUAGGGAAGCCGUGAAGCGAGCCACCUGGGAAGUACGGUCGCAAGGCUGGAAACUUAAAGGAAUUGGGACGGGGGUAGCGACUACGAACGGGGUGGAGCCUGCGGUUUAAGUUGGGA